Molecule: ribosomal RNA, 252 nt
Filed under: uncultured bacterium
Lineage: Bacteria
Description: partial 16S ribosomal RNA
Rfam family: Bacterial small subunit ribosomal RNA
Source: RNAcentral
CGAAGGGGCUAGCGUUGUUCGGAAUCACUGGGCGUAAAGCGCACGUAGGCGGACAUUUAAGUCAGGGUGAAAGCCUGGAGCUCAACUCCAGAACUGCCCUUGAUACUGGGUGUCUCGAGUCCGGAAGAGGUAAGUGGAACUGCGAGUGUAGAGGUGAAAUUCGUAGAUAUUCGCAAGAACACCAGUGGCGAAGGCGGCUUACUGGUCCGGUACUGACGCUGAGGUGCGAAAGCGUGGGGAGCAAACAGGAUU